This 434-nucleotide ribosomal RNA is filed under the name uncultured Lachnospiraceae bacterium. Its description in RNAcentral is "bacterial SSU rRNA". It matches the Rfam family "Bacterial small subunit ribosomal RNA", at positions 341 to 792 of the family's 1533-position model. The record is from RNAcentral. Lineage: Bacteria; Bacillati; Bacillota; Clostridia; Lachnospirales; Lachnospiraceae.
ACGGAAGGCAGCAGUGGGGAAUAUUGGACAAUGGGGGCAACCCUGAUCCAGCGACGCCGCGUGAGUGAAGAAGUAUUUCGGUAUGUAAAGCUCUUUAAGCAGGGAAGAAAAUGACGGUACCUGCAGAAUAAGCCCCGGCUAACUACGUGCCAGCAGCCGCGGUAAUACGUAGGGGGCAAGCGUUAUCCGGAUUUACUGGGUGUAAAGGGAGCGUAGACGGCAAAUCAAGUCUGAAGUGAAAGCCCGCGGCUCAACUGCGGAACUGCUUUGGAAACUGAUUAGCUAGAGUGUCGGAGAGGUGAGUGGAAUUCCCAGUGUAGCGGUGAAAUGCGUAGAUAUUGGGAGGAACACCGGUGGCGAAGGCGGCUCACUGGACGAUAACUGACGUUGAUGCUCGAAAGCGUGGGGAGCAAACAGGAUUAGAUACCCUGGUA